GAUCCACCCGCACGUAUAGAUGGACAAGAAUAGGCUUCGGCUUAGCGUCUUAGCAGGCGAUUCUUCCGCGGCGCUCGAAGCGCGUCGUGGUAUUUCGCGUAUUGUAAUUUCAACACGAGCGGGGUCAAAUCCUUUGCAGACGACUUAGCUGUGCGAAACGGUCCUGUAAGCAGUAGAGUAGCCUUGUUGUUACGAUCUGCUGAGGGUAAGCCGUCCUUCGCCUCGAUUU
This 229-nucleotide ribosomal RNA is filed under the name Fusarium oxysporum. RNAcentral describes it as "partial 28S ribosomal RNA". It matches the Rfam family "Eukaryotic large subunit ribosomal RNA", at positions 3162 to 3399 of the family's 3401-position model. The record is from RNAcentral. Lineage: Eukaryota; Fungi; Ascomycota; Sordariomycetes; Hypocreales; Nectriaceae.